UAAGUAGAAGCUGAAUUAUGCGCCUAGCUGUUAAUUAGGAAGAUGUAAAUUAAAGUUUUACCUGCUUAG
This 69-nucleotide transfer RNA is filed under the name Solemya elarraichensis. RNAcentral's name for it is "tRNA-Asn". Lineage: Eukaryota; Metazoa; Mollusca; Bivalvia; Solemyida; Solemyidae. The record is from RNAcentral.